Molecule: non-coding RNA, 69 nt
Organism: Phrynosoma platyrhinos (Desert horned lizard)
Lineage: Eukaryota; Metazoa; Chordata; Lepidosauria; Squamata; Phrynosomatidae
Source: the annotation of a GenBank genome assembly
GCUGGUGUGACAGUGGUCUGAGUACUAGAUUGGGACUCUGGAGACCAGGGUUCGAUUCCCAGCUCAGCC